This 490-nucleotide ribosomal RNA is filed under the name uncultured bacterium. RNAcentral describes it as "partial 16S ribosomal RNA". It matches the Rfam family "Bacterial small subunit ribosomal RNA", at positions 30 to 507 of the family's 1533-position model. The record is from RNAcentral.
AUUGAACGCUGGCGGCAGGCCUAACACAUGCAAGUCGAACGGUAACAGGAAGAAGCUUGCUUCUUUGCUGACGAGUGGCGGACGGGUGAGUAAUGUCUGGGAAACUGCCUGAUGGAGGGGGAUAACUACUGGAAACGGUAGCUAAUACCGCAUAACGUCGCAAGACCAAAGAGGGGGACCUUCGGGCCUUUUGCCAUCGGAUGUGCCCAGAUGGGAUUAGCUAGUAGGUGGGGUAACGGCUCACCUAGGCGACGAUCCCUAGCUGGUCUGAGAGGAUGACCAGCCACACUGGAACUGAGACACGGUCCAGACCCCGACGGGAGGCAGAAGUGGGGAAUAUUGCACAAUGGGCGCAAGCCUGAUGCAGCCAUGCCGCGUGUAUGAAGAAGGCCUUCGGGUUGUAUAGUACUUUCAGCGGGGAGGAAGGGAGUAAAGUUAAUACCUGUGCUCAUUGACGGUACCCGCAGAAGAAGCACCGGCUAACUCCGUG